GACGUAGGGGGCGAGCGUUAUCCGGAUUCACUGGGCGUAAAGGGCGCGCAGGCGGCUAUGUAAGUCCGGCGUGAAAUCCCACGGCUCAACUGUGGAAUUGCGUCGGAUACUGCAUUGGCUUGAGGACGGUAGAGGCUUCUGGAACUAGCGGUGUAGCGGUGAAAUGCGCAGAUAUCGCUAGGAACGCCGGUGGCGAAGGCGGGAGGCUGGGCCGUUCCUGACGCUGAGGCGCGAAAGCUAGGGGAGCGAACCGG
Molecule: ribosomal RNA, 254 nt
Filed under: uncultured bacterium
Lineage: Bacteria
Description: partial 16S ribosomal RNA
Rfam family: Bacterial small subunit ribosomal RNA
Source: RNAcentral